RNAcentral lists this ribosomal RNA (500 nucleotides) under Talicada nyseus. RNAcentral describes it as "partial 16S ribosomal RNA". The record is from RNAcentral. Lineage: Eukaryota; Metazoa; Arthropoda; Insecta; Lepidoptera; Lycaenidae.
CAAAAACAUGUCUUUUUGUAUUUAAUUUAAAGUCUAAUCUGCCCACUGAUUUUUAAUUAAAGGGCUGCAGUAAUUUGACUGUACAAAGGUAGCAUAAUCAUUAGUCUUUUAAUUGAAGACUUGUAUGAAAGAUUUGAUGAGAUAUAAACUGUCUCUUUAUUACAAUUAAAAUUUAAUUUUUUAGUUAAAAAGCUAAAAUAUUUUUAAAAGACGAGAAGACCCUAUAGAGUUUUAUAGUUUUUAUUAUAAAAUAUUUAUAUAAAAUUUUAAUGUUAUAUUAUAAAAAUUAUUUUGUUGGGGAGAUAAAAAAAUUAAAUAAACUUUUUUAAAUAUUUUCAUGAAUAAUUGAGUAAUUGAUCCAUAUUUAUUGAUUAAAAGAAAAAAUUACCUUAGGGAUAACAGCGUAAUAUUUUUUUUUAGUACAAAUAAGAAAAAAAGUUUGCGACCUCGAUGUUGGAUUAAGAUAAAAUUUAAAUGUAAAAGUUUAAAAUUUUGAUCUG